UAGGGAAUCUUCCACAAUGGACGCAAGUCUGAUGGAGCAACGCCGCGUGAGUGAAGAAGGUUUUCGGAUCGUAAAGCUCUGUUGUUGGUGAAGAAGGAUAGAGGCAGUAACUGGUCUUUAUUUGACGGUAAUCAACCAGAAAGUCACGGCUAACUACGNGCCAG
This 164-nucleotide ribosomal RNA is filed under the name uncultured bacterium. RNAcentral's name for it is "partial 16S rRNA". It matches the Rfam family "Bacterial small subunit ribosomal RNA", at positions 355 to 511 of the family's 1533-position model. The record is from RNAcentral.